RNAcentral lists this ribosomal RNA (454 nucleotides) under Escherichia coli. Its description in RNAcentral is "partial 23S ribosomal RNA". It matches the Rfam family "Bacterial large subunit ribosomal RNA", at positions 1290 to 1746 of the family's 2925-position model. The record is from RNAcentral. Lineage: Bacteria; Pseudomonadati; Pseudomonadota; Gammaproteobacteria; Enterobacterales; Enterobacteriaceae.
GCGAAUGCUGACAUAAGUAACGAUAAAGCGGGUGAAAAGCCCGCUCGCCGGAAGACCAAGGGUUCCUGUCCAACGUUAAUCGGGGCAGGGUGAGUCGACCCCUAAGGCGAGGCCGAAAGGCGUAGUCGAUGGGAAACAGGUUAAUAUUCCUGUACUUGGUGUUACUGCGAAGGGGGGACGGAGAAGGCUAUGUUGGCCGGGCGACGGUUGUCCCGGUUUAAGCGUGUAGGCUGGUUUUCCAGGCAAAUCCGGAAAAUCAAGGCUGAGGCGUGAUGACGAGGCACUACGGUGCUGAAGCAACAAAUGCCCUGCUUCCAGGAAAAGCCUCUAAGCAUCAGGUAACAUCAAAUCGUACCCCAAACCGACACAGGUGGUCAGGUAGAGAAUACCAAGGCGCUUGAGAGAACUCGGGUGAAGGAACUAGGCAAAAUGGUGCCGUAACUUCGGGAGAAGG